UCCCCAGCUAUUGCUGGACUACAAUUCCCAUUAUCCCCGACCACUGGUCCUGCUAGCUAGGAAUGAUGGGGGUUGUAGUCCAACAACAGCUGGGGA
This 96-nucleotide microRNA precursor is filed under the name Podarcis lilfordi (Lilford's wall lizard). The record is from RNAcentral. Lineage: Eukaryota; Metazoa; Chordata; Lepidosauria; Squamata; Lacertidae.